UUUACGGAGAGUUUGAUCCUGGCUCAGGACGAACGCUGGCGGCGUGCUUAACACAUGCAAGUGGAGCGACGAACCAGGCUUCGGCCUGGGGCAAAGCCGCGAACGGGUGAGUAACACGUGGGUAAUCUGCCCCGAUGACUGGGACAACCCGGGGAAACCCGGGCUAAUACCGGAUGAACUCCCGUCACACCAGUGGCGAGAGGAAAGGUAGCUUCGGCCUCCGCAUCGGGAUGAGCCCGCGGCCCAUUAGCUUGUUGGUGGGGUAAAGGCCUACC
RNAcentral lists this ribosomal RNA (275 nucleotides) under Actinomycetota bacterium. RNAcentral's name for it is "partial 16S ribosomal RNA". It matches the Rfam family "Bacterial small subunit ribosomal RNA", at positions 1 to 269 of the family's 1533-position model. Lineage: Bacteria; Bacillati; Actinomycetota. The record is from RNAcentral.